This 435-nucleotide ribosomal RNA is filed under the name uncultured bacterium. Its description in RNAcentral is "partial 16S ribosomal RNA". It matches the Rfam family "Bacterial small subunit ribosomal RNA", at positions 28 to 507 of the family's 1533-position model. The record is from RNAcentral.
GAUGAACGCUGGCGGUAUGCUUAACACAUGCAAGUCGAACGGACUCUUCGGAGUUAGUGGCGGACGGGUGAGUAACGCGUGAGAAUCUGGCUUUGGGUUCGGGACAACCACUGGAAACGGUGGCUAAUACCGGAUGUGCCGAGAGGUAAAAGAGAAAUUGCCUGAAGAUGAGCUCGCGUCUGAUUAGCUAGUUGGUGAGGUAAAGGCUCACCAAGGCAGCGAUCAGUAGCUGGUCUGAGAGGAGGACCAGCCACACUGAGACUGAGACACGGCCCAGACGCCUACGGGAGGCAGCAGUGGGGAAUAUUCCGCAAUGGGCGAAAGCCUGACGGAGCAAUACCGCGUGAGGGAAGAAGGCUCUUGGGUUGUAAACCUCUUUUCUUAGGGAAGAACAAAAUGACGGUACCUAAGGAAUCAGCAUCGGCUAACUCCGUG